CCUANGGGAGGCUGCAGUCGAGGAUCUUCGGCAAUGGGCGCAAGCCUGACCGAGCGACGCCGCGUGUGGGAUGAAGGCCUUCGGGUUGUAAACCACUGUCAGUGGGGAGGAAAUGCUAUAGGGUUCUCCCUGUAGUUUGACCUAUCCGCAGAGGAAGUACGGGCUAAGUUCGUGCCAGCAGCCGCGGUAAGACGAACCGUACAAACGUUAUUCGGAAUCACUGGGCUUAAAGGGUGCGUAGGCUGUCCGAUAAGUUGGGCGUGAAAGCCCUCGGCUUAACCGAGGAAUUGCGCUCAAUACUGCCUGACUUGAGGAAGACAGAGGUGAGCGGAACUUAGGGUGGAGCGGUGAAAUGCGUUGAUAUCCUAAGGAACACCUGGGGCGAAAGCGGCUCACUGGGUCUUUUCUGACGCUGAGGCACGAAAGCUAGGGUAGCGAACGGGAUUAGAUACCCCANUANUC
This 462-nucleotide ribosomal RNA is filed under the name uncultured bacterium. Its description in RNAcentral is "bacterial SSU rRNA". It matches the Rfam family "Bacterial small subunit ribosomal RNA", at positions 338 to 795 of the family's 1533-position model. The record is from RNAcentral.